RNAcentral lists this ribosomal RNA (429 nucleotides) under uncultured bacterium. Its description in RNAcentral is "bacterial SSU rRNA". It matches the Rfam family "Bacterial small subunit ribosomal RNA", at positions 355 to 776 of the family's 1533-position model. The record is from RNAcentral.
UGGGGAAUAUUGGACAAUGGGGGAAAUCUUGAUCCAGCGACGCUGCGUGGGUGAAGAAGGUCUGCGGGUUGUAAAGCUUUUUCGGUGGGGAUGAAAAGCCCUGUUCUAACAAAGCAGGGUCUUGACCUAACCCAAGAAAGAAGCACCGGCUAACUCUGUGCCAGCAGCCGCGGUAAUACAGAGGGUGCGAGCGUUAAUCGGAAUUACUGGGCGUAAAGCGCGCGUAGGCGGCUUUGCAAGUCGAUUGUGAAAUCCCCGGGCUUAACCUGGGAACUGCAGUCGAGACUGCUUUGCUUGAGUAUGGGAGAGGGAGGUGGAAUUUCCGGUGUAGCGGUGAAAUGCGUAGAUAUCGGAAGGAACAUCAGUGGCGAAAGCGACCUCCUGGACCAAUACUGACGCUCAUGUGCGAAAGCGUGGGGAGCAAACAGG